GGGUUACUCAGAUAGGAGUUGGAGAAGUGGAGUCAGAGAGGAGCCCUAUGGAGGCUCCAGGGCCUGUGAUCAGGCUAGGCUGAGGCCAGAGGAAAUGCCAUCCCACCUGCAAGCCUGCUCAACCUCUUCAGACCCAGGAUGGGAGCAUCAAGGAAGAACUACAGCUGCCAGCACCACCCCAGCCCCAACUUCAGUCAUGGCCACUCCUCAGGUCACUGAAGGGACCCCGGUUAUGCGGGGACCCCACUCCCUCCCUCCAGAUCUGAUCAGGAUUCCAACAUUAAGAGGAGCCAGCAGAGAGCUGUCUUUGUACCCUGGCUCUGAGGAAGUUUUGUGGGAUAGACCGCGUGUGGCCUGAAAGAGCUCGCAUUUCAGGGAACGCCUGGGCUCGAUGCCUGUUAUCUUGUUCAGUGCCUCUGAUUAUAAAUUAAUAAACUGGAAUCUCACCAACAAUUGGUCUCAUGUGAGUUUGGCAUGUGUGCACCCACUUCUCGGAGGCUGACUGUCUCAAGGAAAAAAAAUUAAACCGUUUCCUGGCCAG
Molecule: long non-coding RNA, 541 nt
Filed under: Aotus nancymaae (Ma's night monkey)
Lineage: Eukaryota; Metazoa; Chordata; Mammalia; Primates; Aotidae
Description: lncRNA (ENSANAG00000039129.1)
Source: RNAcentral